This is a transfer RNA of Smittium culicis, 72 nucleotides long. It matches the Rfam family "tRNA". From Rfam's summary of the family: Transfer RNA (tRNA) molecules are approximately 80 nucleotides in length. Their secondary structure includes four short double-helical elements and three loops (D, anti-codon, and T loops). The record is from Rfam. Lineage: Eukaryota; Fungi; Kickxellomycota; Harpellomycetes; Harpellales; Legeriomycetaceae.
UCUCGGAUAGUAUAGUGGUGAGUAUUCCAGUCUGUCACAUUGGCGACCCGGGUUCAAUUCCCGGUCCGAGAG